GAAACGGUAGUUCAAAGGAAGAAUACUGGCCUUCCACGCGAGAGGUUGCGGGUUCGAAUCCCGCCCGUUUCA
Molecule: transfer RNA, 72 nt
Filed under: Chryseobacterium sediminis
Lineage: Bacteria; Pseudomonadati; Bacteroidota; Flavobacteriia; Flavobacteriales; Weeksellaceae
Description: tRNA-Gly
Rfam family: tRNA
About the family: Transfer RNA (tRNA) molecules are approximately 80 nucleotides in length. Their secondary structure includes four short double-helical elements and three loops (D, anti-codon, and T loops).
Source: RNAcentral